UACGGGAGGCAGCAGUGGGGAAUAUUGCACAAUGGGCGCAAGCCUGAUGCAGCCAUGCCGCGUGUAUGAAGAAGGCCUUCGGGUUGUAAAGUACUUUCAGUCGUGAGGAAGGUGUUAAGGUUAAUAACCUUAGCAAUUGACGUUAGCGACAGAAGAAGCACCGGCUAACUCCGUGCUAGCAGCCGCGGUAAUACGGAGGGUGCGAGCGUUAAUCGGAAUUACUGGGCGUAAAGGGCACGCAGGCGGUUAAUUAAGUUGGAUGUGAAAUCCCCGGGCUUAACCUGGGAAUGGCAUUCAAGACUGGUUAGCUAGAGUCUUGUAGAGGGGGUAGAAUUCCAUGUGUAGCGGUGAAAUGCGUAGAGAUGUGGAGGAAUACCGGUGGCGAAGGCGGCCCCUGGACAAAGACUGACGCUCAUGUGCGAAAGCGUGGGGAGCAAACAGGGAUUAGAUACC
Molecule: ribosomal RNA, 453 nt
Filed under: uncultured bacterium
Lineage: Bacteria
Description: bacterial SSU rRNA
Rfam family: Bacterial small subunit ribosomal RNA
Source: RNAcentral